UAACCCUAUGAAUUUAAGAGGAAAAAGAAAAUAUAAAUUAUAGAUGUACAUGCCAACUAAAUAGUAAACAAGUGAAAAAUAAAAUUAUCCUAUAAAUAAAAAGAAAAAUAACAAUAGUAUCACAAUUAAUUUGCAUGAAAACUAUCAAUUAGAUCACAUUUUAAAAGGCAACACUUAAUAUUGUGCAAUAUGUAAAAACAUGACACAGCAUCAAUUAAAUAAAAAAAGGACAAGCAAAGAAUGUGCCAGCAGCCGCGGCUAAACAUUCUGUACUAAUUUUCAAAUUUAAACAUGUAAGAAAGAAUAAUAAACAAAUAAUAGAAGACUGAACAACAACUAAAAAUAAAAUAGUAAAAUAUAAAAAUAAUAACUCAACCCCACCACCCUCUAAAACAAUAAAAUUCUAAUACACCAAAGCAUAGAGAACAAAAAGGAUUAGAUACCCUUGUAGCCCAUGCCAUAAAAAAUAUAUGAAAAAAGUAUGCUCGCAAGACAGAAACUUAAUAAAUUUGAGAGAGAGAAAAAAUUCGAGGAAGCGUAUACUUUAAUUCGAAAUUACACGAAAACCUUACCUAAAAAUAACAAGUAGGAUAUCACCACAUAUUACUUUUAUAAAAACAAUAAAAUCACUACAUAAGCCACACAUCGGUCAUCACCCUCUUCAUAUUUAGGGCUAGUAAGCACUACAAACUAUUAACUUAAAUAAUAGUACCAACACCAUGAAAACAUACAAGGAGCACCCGAAAGUAAUUAUUUCUAAUAAAAAAAUAAUGAAACUAUACAAAAAACUGCUACAUACCGCCCGUCAAUUCUCAAGAACACACACAGCCUAUGCUAAAAAAAUAAACAUAAACAAUUUACCAUUAACCCCCCUAAACAAAAAACAAUUAAGAAUAAGUCGUAACAAGGUAGCCGUAUCUGAAGAUGCGGCUAAAAAUAA
Molecule: ribosomal RNA, 940 nt
Filed under: Caulophacus iocasicus
Lineage: Eukaryota; Metazoa; Porifera; Hexactinellida; Lyssacinosida; Rossellidae
Description: 12S ribosomal RNA
Source: RNAcentral